ACACGAAAAAAGGACUGCAUCGAGGCGCCUGCACUUCAAUGCUUUUCAGUAAAGAACAACCAGACCCUGAAUUAUCUCUGAUAUUUAGUUUUCUUAUUUUUUGUUUUUUAGAAGUGUAUUUUGUAGAAGAAGAAAAAGAAGAA
RNAcentral lists this non-coding RNA (143 nucleotides) under Heterosigma akashiwo. The record is from RNAcentral. Lineage: Eukaryota; Raphidophyceae; Chattonellales; Chattonellaceae.